This 400-nucleotide ribosomal RNA is filed under the name uncultured bacterium. RNAcentral describes it as "bacterial SSU rRNA". It matches the Rfam family "Bacterial small subunit ribosomal RNA", at positions 356 to 773 of the family's 1533-position model. The record is from RNAcentral.
GGGGAAUAUUGGACAAUGGGGGCAACCCUGAUCCAGCCAUGCCGCGUGAGUGAUGAAGGCCCUAGGGUUGUAAAGCUCUUUCAACGGUGAAGAUAAUGACGGUAACCGUAGAAGAAGCCCCGGCUAACUUCGUGCCAGCAGCCGCGGUAAUACGAAGGGGGCUAGCGUUGUUCGGAAUUACUGGGCGUAAAGCGCGCGUAGGCGGAUCGGUCAGUUAGGGGUGAAAUCCCGGGGCUUAACCCCGGAACUGCCUUUAAUACUGCUGAUCUGGAGUUCGAGAGAGGUGAGUGGAAUUCCGAGUGUAGAGGUGAAAUUCGUAGAUAUUCGGAGGAACACCAGUGGCGAAGGCGGCUCACUGGCUCGAUACUGACGCUGAGGUGCGAAAGCGUGGGGAGCAAAC